UCCAUUUAGAGCUUGUAAAUUUAAGCAUUUCUCUUACACAGAAAAGAAACUUGUGAAAAACAAAUUAUUUGGAA
This 74-nucleotide transfer RNA is filed under the name Brisinga sp. SS-2022. RNAcentral describes it as "tRNA-Val". Lineage: Eukaryota; Metazoa; Echinodermata; Asteroidea; Brisingida; Brisingidae. The record is from RNAcentral.